CCCCCUCCUGUGUGCUGUAGAUAUCAUAUAUAAGACUUGCUAUUCAAAUUCCAAACUUCAAAAACAAUAGAAAAUAUCCACACAAAAAAACACUAUCAUAUUGAUUUUUCUGAGUUCGUUGUGCUGAAUUCUCUUGUCUUUUGGUUCUGAAGCUUCACUGAAGCUUUUUGUGUUUGGUUUCGAAUAGUUGUGGUCUUAAUGGAGCCGGUUUAGUUGGAUUUGGGUUCAUUGAGGUGUUCUGGUGAUUUUCCCAGUAGAUUUGUCUUUGAACAAUCUGUUAUGGUUGAUUUUUCUUGUUCUAUUUGUGUUCAAUCGUAAACUGAGCAUCAUUGACAUUAUUCCUGAGCUGGUUAUUGAUUUUUGCCUAUUGCCGCUGUUGCUGACUUAUUCUGCUUCUUUCUAUUUCUAAAUUCCAAGUACUUACCUCCACUUCAAAUGAUGUAUCUCACUAUGAGCUGAACAAAGCCAAAUUGGGAAAGAAAUUGAAGUGCUGGAUGAAUUUCCGUUUUAAUUUACUCACUGCUCACUGUUGUUUAUCUUACACAUUAGAUCGUGUGUAUUAAUUGGACUACAGUUGGACUGUUUGUUUUAAAUGUUGACUGCUCAUUUUAUCAGUGUAUGAGUGAGCAUGUUAUGCUUCACUUAAUGAUAGCUGCAAUCUAGAAUGAUUUAAUAUCAUGCUUAGCUUAAUCUGUCUUUGUUGGAAGUGUUAGGAACUCGGAUAUUUGGUGGUUUAAAAUCAAGCUUUGCUUAAUUGAUUUUCCUCUGUUUAUGUUGAAUAAAAG
Molecule: long non-coding RNA, 785 nt
Filed under: Nicotiana benthamiana
Lineage: Eukaryota; Viridiplantae; Streptophyta; Magnoliopsida; Solanales; Solanaceae
Description: long non-coding RNA (NBEN_LNC006387)
Source: RNAcentral